RNAcentral lists this ribosomal RNA (399 nucleotides) under uncultured bacterium. Its description in RNAcentral is "bacterial SSU rRNA". It matches the Rfam family "Bacterial small subunit ribosomal RNA", at positions 64 to 507 of the family's 1533-position model. The record is from RNAcentral.
GAACGCUCGUAGCAAUACGGGAGUGGCAGACGGGUGAGUAACACGUGGGAACGUCCCCCUCGGUUCGGAAUAACUCAGGGAAACUUGAGCUAAUACCGGAUACGUCCGAGAGGAGAAAGAUUCAUCGCCGAGGGAUCGGCCCGCGUCUGAUUAGCUAGUUGGUGAGGUAACGGCUCACCAAGGCGACGAUCAGUAGCUGGUCUGAGAGGAUGACCAGCCACACUGGGACUGAGACACGGCCCAGACUCCUACGGGAGGCAGCAGUGGGGAAUCUUGGACAAUGGGCGCAAGCCUGAUCCAGCCAUGCCGCGUGAGUGAUGAAGGCCUUAGGGUUGUAAAGCUCUUUCGGCGGGGACGAUAAUGACGGUACCCGCAGAAGGAGCCCCGGCUAACUUCGUG